CAGCAGCCGCGGUAAAACGAAGGGUGCAAGCGUUACUCGGAAUUACUGGGCGUAAAGCGUGCGUAGGUGGUGGUUUAAGUCCGUUGUGAAAGCCCUGGGCUCAACCUGGGAAUCUCAGUGGAUACUGGGUCACUAGAGUGUGGUAGAGGAUAGUGGAAUUUCCGGUGUAGCAGUGAAAUGCGUAGAGAUCGGAAGGAACAUCUGUGGCGAAGGCGACUAUCUGGGCCAACACUGACACUGAGGCACGAAAGCGUGGGGAGCAAACAGGAUUAGAUACCCCAGUAGUCCCUGUCUCUUAUAC
RNAcentral lists this ribosomal RNA (301 nucleotides) under uncultured bacterium. Its description in RNAcentral is "partial 16S ribosomal RNA". It matches the Rfam family "Bacterial small subunit ribosomal RNA", at positions 509 to 807 of the family's 1533-position model. The record is from RNAcentral.